GAGUCCUGUGACUCAGUGACACUCUGAGGAACCCAUGACUGUGGGGUGGGCUUGGAACAAAUUCACUGUUGGCAGAAGCUGUCCACUGCCCCCAUUUUUUGCUCUGGCAAAAAUAGAUUUCAAUGGCAGCUUACGAAGGGGCCGCGGUGGGGAAGAGAUUGUGGACUGCAUGUUUGGCUGCUCUGUGGGGGUCUUGGCUGUGUAAAGGUCACAGUCACUGUGUAGUGGAUUAUGGGUUCAUUCAUCUCCACAGGGCAAGCUGGAGAAGUUUUUCUUGACUCACUGGAAACAGAAGUAAAAGGCUGAGGAAGGCAUUGCGAGAGGAGUUUGAAAUUCUUGCUUCAGGCCAUAUGGAGUGGAUAUUCUUUCCAGAAGGAAAUUACAGACCACUCUCUGUUUCUACUCAACUGCUUUUCACUCCAGGAUGCUUCACCUCUUGGGGCCUUCCCCAGCAGAGGCCCAGGAUCACCUGCAAAAUGCUUUCCCAAGGGUGGGGCCGGAAGCAGGGCUGCAGAUAUGUGUCCUGAACCUCCCAUGGACCCUGCUGGCUCCCUUCAAAGGCUUCGGGCAUAGCAACUUGCCUUUCCGUCUUGUUCAGUCUUCACCAGUCAGCCGUCUGCAGACUUCUCUCCCUCACGUUGUGGCAGAGGAGUUGUAUAUUCUCUAGAUUUUAAAAAUAUGUAAGUUACUUUUUCUUUAAAAAAAAUUGUCUCUGAAAUAA
Molecule: long non-coding RNA, 721 nt
Organism: Pongo pygmaeus (Bornean orangutan)
Lineage: Eukaryota; Metazoa; Chordata; Mammalia; Primates; Hominidae
Exons: 4
Source: RefSeq, a predicted model, not a curated record